GGGAAUUAGGGUUCGAUUCCGGAGAGGGAGCCUGAGAAACGGCUACCACAUCUAAGGAAGGCAGCAGGCGCGCAAAUUACCCAAUCCUAAUACAGGGAGGUAGUGACAAGAAAUAACAAUACAGAACCUUACGGUUUUGUAAUUGGAAUGAGUUAAGUAUAAACCCCUUAACAAGUAUCAAUUGGAGGGCAAGUCUGGUGCCAGCAGCCGCGGUAAUUCCAGCUCCAAUAGCGUAUAUUAAAGUUGUUGCAGUUAAAAAGCUCGUAGUUAAUCUUCUGUUAAUUUUUAUAUAUAAUAUCACGAUAUUUAUAUAAUAUUAACAUAAUUCAUAUUACUUUUUAGUAUAUGAAACUUUACUUUGAGAAAAUUAGAGUGCUUAAAGCAGGCUAUUGCCUUGAAUACUCCAGCAUGGAAUAAUAUUAAGGAUUUUUAUUCUUCUUAUUGGUUCUAGAAUAAAAAUGAUG
RNAcentral lists this ribosomal RNA (464 nucleotides) under Cryptosporidium bovis. Its description in RNAcentral is "SSU rRNA". It matches the Rfam family "Eukaryotic small subunit ribosomal RNA", at positions 365 to 867 of the family's 1831-position model. Lineage: Eukaryota; Apicomplexa; Conoidasida; Eucoccidiorida; Cryptosporidiidae. The record is from RNAcentral.